Molecule: RNA transcript, 4835 nt
Organism: Amborella trichopoda
Lineage: Eukaryota; Viridiplantae; Streptophyta; Magnoliopsida; Amborellales; Amborellaceae
Source: RefSeq, a predicted model, not a curated record
ACAAUAUAAAGACCCACGUAAAACAAAGUCUAAAUAUUCCAAAGGAAAGAAAGAUACUUUUCCUAAAAUGUUUUUACAAGAUCACUCUUUCAAACAAAGGUGAAAAAGAAAAAUACCAGUUUGCUAUAACUGUGGGAAGGUAGGUCAUUAUAAAAAUAAAUGCAGAAUAAAAAAGAAAAUUAAUGCUCUUGAAGUUGACCUCGAAAUUAAAAAACAAUUAUUUAAAAUUCUGUUAAUAAAAGGAGAUGACUCAAAAGAAUCUACUAACUUCGAUAGUGAAAUGCUCAUUGGAGAAAUAAGUGAUGAAGAAAUAAUUUUCACAAGUUCAGACUCUGAUUCAGACUCUGAUAAUGUGCCUGAUGACAACUGCCACUGUAAUUUCUUGAAGGCCACUAUGGAUUUGAAUGCUUUAAACUUAAAUACUCUAACAAAAUAAGAAAAUUUAAUUAUAGAAUUAAUUGACAAGAUAAGUGACCCAGAGGAGGAAGCCUUAAUACAUAUCUACAAAAGAAAAAUUUCUCUUUCAUUUAAAAGAAGAAGUCAGACAUAAGGUCAUUGAUGAAAAGCUAACAUUACCCCAAAUACAAAAUAAAAUCAGCAAUUUUAAAAUAAUGCUUGAAAAAGAAAUAUGUUUUGAUAUUCCUAAAGCUUUUUGGAGUAGGAAGCAACAUAUUGUUGAACUUCCUUUUGAACUAGGAUUCAAUGGAUAAAAAAUUCCUACAAAAGCAAGACCAAUACAAAUGAAUAGUAGACUUCUAGAAAUCUGCAAAAUUGAGAUACAAGAAUUGCUUGAUAAAAAACUUAUUAGAAAAAGUUUCUCACCCUGGAGUUGUGCAACCUUUUAUGUAGAAAAAGCUUUAGAGAUUGAAAGAGGAGCCUCUUGGCUAGUUAUAAAUUACAAACCUUGAAAUAAAACUCUGAGAUGGAUUCGAUAUCCUAUCCCAAACAAAAAGGAUCUUCUAGAUAGCUUGGUUAAUGCUUCUAUAUUCUCAAAAUUUGAUUUAAAAUUAGGAUAUUGGCAAAUUCAAAUGACAGAAAAAGACUGGUAUAAAACUGCUUUCAAUGUUCCUUUUGGGCAUUUUGAAUGGAAUGUUAUGCCUUUUGCUUUAAAAAAUGUCCCUUUGGAAUUUCAAAACAUCAUGAGCGAUAUUUUGAAUCCCUACACCAAAUUUAUCAUUGUGUACAUUGAUGAAUUUCUUGUUUAUUCUGAAACUAUCGACCAACGUUGGAAACAUUUAAAUAUUUUUUUUAAAGCUAUAAAAACUGCUAGAUCAGUUGUUUCAACUAAAAAGAUAAACCUUUUUAAAACCAAAAUAAGGUUCCUAGUACAUAAUAUUUUCCUAGGGAGAAUUAUCCCUAUUGAUAGGGCAAUUCAGUUUGAUAUCAUCAAAGAUAAAAUUGAACUACAAAGGUUUCUCGGUUGUCUAAAUUAUAUUUCCAGUUUCUAUAAAUAUCUGGCUUUAGAUGGAAAACCUUUAUUUCAAAGAUUAAAAAAGAAUCCUCCUAAUUUGAGUAAUUAACAUACAAUCGUUGUUAAAAAAUUAAAAUUGAAGGCUAAAGAAUUUCCUUGUUUAGCACUAUCUGACCCCACAGCUUUUAAUAUUGUUGAAACUGACGCCUCUGAGCUAGGGUUAUGAAGAAUACUUAAACAAAAUUCCCAAAAGACGAGCAAUUGGUAUGUUUUACUUCUAAAGCUUGGAACCCUGCUCAACAAAAAUAUUCUAUUGUUAAAAAAGAAAUCUUAGCCAUAAUCCAUUGUGUCACAAACUUUCAAAGUGAUUUACUCAACAAAAAUUUCUUAUUUGAACUGAUUGUAAAUCAGCCAAAGAUAUUCUUGAAAAAGAUAUAAAAAGUCUUGUUGCAAAAUAAAUAUUUGCCCGUUGGCAAGGCAUUCUUUCCGCAUUUGAUUUUGAUAUUAAACAUAUUAAUGGCCAACAUAACCAUCUUCUUGACUUUUUGACUCGAGAAUUUUCACAGGGAGGGAAGGAGAAGUCAACAUCAGCCAAUGGAUAUAAUUCUUAGCUAAGGCAAAGCUUUGGCCCAAUAUAACAGUCCGGGAAAAACCACCUUGGCCCCAUAUAGUUCUAGCCCGGGAAAAAGCCCGGCAUCUUCAUCUACUCCAAAAGCUUUAAUAAGAAAGCAGGCUCAAGAGAUUGAUAUAUUUCCCCAACAAUCCCCUUUGAGCACAAAAAGUCAAAAUACAGAUAGAACUACGUUUUCUUGAGACAUCUUAUAUAACGCUGAUUAUUAUUGAAAAUGAUCACAGGGAAAAAGACCCUGUUGAAAUAGCAGCUAUAUAUUUAUGCAAUCAUCUGCGUCCUAAUAUGGGGGAUAAAUGCAGAGAAUGGUAUGAGACCAUACUUAUGGAAAUUGGGUCGGUAUCAAUAGUACACCAUUAUAGAAAUAAUGACUUGGAAAUAGCAUAUUCCAAGUUCCAAAUUCAUAAAAUCAUCUCUUAUAGAGAUUGGGGUUUGAAUCCUUUAAAACCAAGGAUAAUAAAUACUAAAAUAUUUAAAAAUAAAUCCGACCAUUACUUUGAAUACAUCAAGGCAUGGGAUGAGGUUUUUGCCUACCAAAAUACUAAGGCUACACAUAGUUGGUAUGUACAGUUUAAAAGAACUGAAUCAAUAGAGUUUCCCAACUGGUUUAAAAGCUGGUUCCUGUUAUGGGGAUCAUGUAGCCAGAUACUUCUCCAAAAGUUACAAAUUUCACAGAGAAAAUUCUCUGAUUGUAAUGCAAGUAGUCUAAAAAGGGACUAUCAUUUAUAUUUUAUGGCUUUAUAUCAGGUCCCUUGGAUAUUAAUAUGGACAUACCAACUCUCUGAGGAUGGUAUGGACCGAUGGGAUUAUAUCCUAGAGUUACGUCGAAAGAUAUCAAUUAAAUGGUGCGAUAGUUACAAAAAUGAUUCUCUGGACCCUGACAAAAUUUACAUGAAAACAAUACCAUCCUCGUCACCAACUUCUGAUAUGGGUGUUUUCCGAAUAUAUUACAUUAUGCAACAUUAAAACCGUACACUAUCAAAAGCUGAGCUCAGAAAGUAGCUACUGUUGGCCCUAGAUUAAGACGAAGAAAUAGAAGACUAUAGUCUGUUAAAUGUUGAUGACUGUGUAUGGAUUACUUUCUCCCCACUAAUUGAGGGUAAAAGCAAGGGACGGUACGACUCCAAAAACCCACUCAGGACACAUGUCCCAAAAUCAAACUACCAUCGACAAAAGAAGCACUAUUGGCACCAAGCAAUCAAUCAUCUACAGUAAAAAGGAGCAUUAUCGCCACCAAUCACUGUAGAGGAAUCUUGUUUUUGUCAGAACUUUAACUUUUGCUUUAUUGAAAGGGCAUCUUACUUUCAGUGCAGAUUUUGUUAUCCUUUGAAGUCCGAUCUCCCCUCCUCUAUAUAAGGAGGUGAGACCCAAAGGGAAAGGCAUUUGGAGAUGAAUCUUGGGAGUUUUCUGUCUUAGUUUUCUGCCUUUAGUUUUGGAUGUUUAAUUCUGAGUGUUUGGUUUUGAGUGAUUUGUUCUAAGUGUGAGCUACUUGUCUUCUGUUUCGAGUCUUCUGAAGAAGAGGAACCACACUAGUAGUAUACUGUCUCUUCGAGUCUAUGGUUUAAUGGCAUCGGCGGUAUCGGGAAAAAAAAAUUAUCGCACGACCCCUCUCCUCUGUUCUUCGAGUUCAACCGCUGAGGCAGCCCUCUGUUCGCAGCACGCCACUAUCUCAGCCAGACCCUCUCUUCGCAUGCAGCCCUCGCUAGGGUUUACUCAGCUGUCCUUGAGCUCUGAUCCUUGCUAUUGAUCUUGAGGAUUGACCCAUACACAUCAUCAAGCGCAGUGAAUGAGAAUAUGGGAGGCAAGAGAAACUUCCAAUGGACACAGUCCGAAGAUGAUUACUUUAUUGAACUAAUGGAGAAGGAGACUAGGGCAACUGGGCAGGGGGGGUUUAGAAAAGGUGCCUGGAAACGUAUGGUAGACGCCAUGACAAUUAAAUAUGGGUCAAGAAACAACGAAACUAAGCUGAAAAGCAAACAUAAGUUCCUUAGGAAUAUGUUCAAUGAUAUCACAAAACUUAAAAAUGUUUCCGGUUUCGGAUGGGAUGAUAGUAACUGCCGAGGUUGCUGUUUGGAAUGACUUCCGAGCGGAGAAUGAAUGGGCAAGCAAAUACCAAAACAAGACUUUGCUCGAGCAUUCGCUGCUAAGCAAAAUGUACGAGGGUGGAACGGCAUAUGGGAUGUACAAAUCUAUUGAGCGUGGCAUCAAAAUUGAGUCAGAAAGGCCCAAUAUUGCAUUAUCUGAUGACCCCCCAUUAGAAGUCCAGAAUGAAUCUAGCUCAUCCUCAUCUGAUGAGUUAGUAUCAUCUGGAUAAAAAAGACGACGGUCCCAUACUCCGAUAAGAGCACAUCGCCGAUCAAAGCAACCCACCCCCAUUGAGUCCAUGUCUUUAGCCAUGAUAGAGAUGGCCCAAAGCAUUAAGAUGCUGACAUGUGACACCGUAGGUAACAACAAUACUCCUGUGGUGGAUGGUCUGUUCAAGGUUAGUAGAGAUGCCUGUAAAAUUGUUGAAGGCAUGUGGAAAGCAGGCGAUGGUGAUGCUGUCCUUUUGACGGCGGCGAGGAUCUUCUAAGAUUCUACAAAGGUGGUGAUGUUAUUAAACUUGGAGGAUCCAAGGAUACAAAAGGCUUUCUUAGAUGAAGAGAUGAAACACCUCCAAUAGAGUUCGGAUUGACUAUGUUUAAUUUUAACAUCAAAGACUGCUUCUUUCAUUUGUAUGUGAAUGGCUUAUGUCAUUUUAAUGUCAAAUAUUGCUUCAUGGUUUGCUUUAUAGAUGAUGACUUCUUUCAUUUGUAU